GCUUUAGCAAGAAAGGAAAGCUUUAUCCUUUGCCUUUCAUUACACUAUGGCCAUCCUCAAAAAAGUAGCCUGCCUGUGCAUGAUAAUGCUAGUAGUGGUGGGUCUUCUCUUCACAAUGGGACAAGCACAGAAUUUGUGUUCAGGAUUCGAUCGUCCUGGAGCAUGCCCUAUCAACUGUUUUCGCCCAGAUCCCGUCUGCGGGGCUAAUGGGGUGACUUACUGGUGUGGCUGCCCUGAUGCUGCCUGCGCCGGUGUUCCAGUUGUCAAGUUAGAGGCUUGUUAAUGGUCUCAACUGGGCUCUCUUAUAUGGGUUCUCUCAGUUGCUUCUGUUCCUCUUAAUUUCCCCAGUUGCCUUGUGUGUGAAAAACAACUGCUGUUGUAUACUUGUAUUUGUGCACUCUGGCUUACCUAAUAAGAAGGUUACGUUGGUG
RNAcentral lists this unclassified non-coding RNA (431 nucleotides) under Hevea brasiliensis (rubber tree). The record is from RNAcentral. Lineage: Eukaryota; Viridiplantae; Streptophyta; Magnoliopsida; Malpighiales; Euphorbiaceae.